GUGAGUAAUCAGUUGUGGGUGGCUCUAGUGAAGCCCUCUCACAUCUCUUUAUUCACAG
This 58-nucleotide microRNA precursor is filed under the name Drosophila mojavensis. RNAcentral describes it as "Dmo-Mir-1003_pre stem-loop". Lineage: Eukaryota; Metazoa; Arthropoda; Insecta; Diptera; Drosophilidae. The record is from RNAcentral.